GGCUCGGUAGCCAAGAGGUAAGGCGACGGUCUGCAAAACCGUUAUACGCGGGUUCGAUUCCCGCCCGAGCCU
This 72-nucleotide transfer RNA is filed under the name Candidatus Roizmanbacteria bacterium. Its description in RNAcentral is "tRNA-Cys". It matches the Rfam family "tRNA". From Rfam's summary of the family: Transfer RNA (tRNA) molecules are approximately 80 nucleotides in length. Their secondary structure includes four short double-helical elements and three loops (D, anti-codon, and T loops). Lineage: Bacteria; Candidatus Roizmaniibacteriota. The record is from RNAcentral.